AUCUUAUUAAGAGUGAUUGAGGGACAGGCCCUAUGAAAUCCAGCAACCAAAAGCAUAGCUUUAAGGUGCUAAAUCCUGCAGGUAUACCUGAGAGAUAAGAG
RNAcentral lists this non-coding RNA (101 nucleotides) under Clostridium amylolyticum. RNAcentral describes it as "SAM-I sequence". It matches the Rfam family "SAM riboswitch aptamer (S box leader)". Rfam says of the family: The SAM riboswitch is found upstream of a number of genes which code for proteins involved in methionine or cysteine biosynthesis in Gram-positive bacteria. The SAM riboswitch acts at the level of transcription termination control. Lineage: Bacteria; Bacillati; Bacillota; Clostridia; Eubacteriales; Clostridiaceae. The record is from Rfam by way of RNAcentral.